AAAAGAUUCAGUUUUUAAUUUGAAUUUGCUUUUCUUUACUGGGAAGAGGAAAAAUAAAUAAAUAAAAAACACAAAUUAAUUGGCCCUGCUUUGCACAGAAGGAAUGAUUAAUCUCCUGCAUGCAGGAGCAUCUGUCUACUACUCCUGCCUGAAUUCCUCAAAAGGCUAAGAGUGUUUCUAAUGGUCAUUUAAAUAAUAAAUGCCACUACACUCAUUAGGGGUGUAUCAGCCGUUCGUUUUCUGCUCUGGUGCUUGUUGUAUUCUAUUAAUAUUUAUUGAAUUCAAGGAAAUUCAUUCUGAGCUACUGGUCUACAUUUCUUUUCAAGGUCACCAAAUAUAAAUAUUUUAUUUAUCUAAUUUAGAAAAACGACAUCAGAUGCCAUGCAGCAAACAUGACAAGAGUAUGAAUUAGCGGAAAGCUUCCCUGGGGAAAUGUAUCCAGGUUCCAGUAAUGGAUAAUUAUAAAUCCAAUAGCUUCUCUCCUACCAGGGUUGCAUUGCAUACUUGCUGUGUAUGCAUAGCCCAGGAAGGUCCUCUUUCUUCCCCACCAGUAAUGAGACAGAGAAGAACCUGAUGAAAUGCUGUGUUCUCAAAGUUCCUCUGAUGAGGAGGAGCCUGAAUAGCCCUGUCAUGAGAUCGCUGUGUGACAGACGAGAUGAAUUGCCCUCCAGAAGUGCCUGCUCUCAGUGGGGACCAAGGAGGUAACUACCUUAAACAGGUCACAUAACAAUCAGGUAAUUUCACUCUGGAGACCAGAAACCUUAAACUCUUCAAAUGAGUAGCACGUGAUACAGAUAGCAGUUGUGCUUGGGGAAAAUGCCAGUCGUCUCAUGAAAGGUUUGCUUCCUUGGUGUGUGUGGAGGAUACCUGGUGCAGAUUGUUCAUACAAAGGCACGUGGGCAUCAUGCAAGCUCCAAGGACUUGUCCAGAAGUCUGGAGGAAGCACUGGUUUGGAUUUGAGAAGAUGUGGUACCUCGUCAUUCUACCUUAUAAUUCUUCUGGGAAUUUGGCAAAUCCUUUAGUGCAAAAGCAUUGGUAAUUCAGUGCCUGAAUACCCUAAAUAUGGCCCCCCAAAACUUUGUGUCUGGGUUCCUGGCUUGGCACUGACGUAACUGGUCAAGCUUUUUAUGCUGUAUCUUACUGAAUUUAUGAGGACUUUUGGGGGUGGGAUUUUCUCACUCUACCAGAAGGUUAAGACUAGUGUGAAUUAGAUUUACCAGUGCCUUUGAAGUUCCUAUUUGUCGUCAUCUCAGCAUGUGUUGGCUCCUAGAUAUGUUUAAAAUCCAGCCUCCUGACCAUAGCACUUGACAUACCACUGCCAUAACAAGAUUGGUCCCUUAAGAAUACUUCUUCAGUGUUGUUCUCCUUAAUCUGAUAUCCCAAAGUAGUGAACUUCCACCACUCCCCUGGAUUGUUUAGGAUCAUUUCACAAGCUGAUAAAGUCAGGAAGGACAGAUAGCAAUUCUGCAACUUGUCUUGACGUAUGUGAGUACCCUGCCAAAGUGUAUUACAACAUAUUGAAUGGGUCUGUUGCUGGCUGCACCUGGGUUAUGCAGAAUACUAAGAAGGACUCAGAAAAAGUAUUUUUCUUCUUCUCAGUUGGGGGGGAAGAGCUGAUACUGUUUUAACCUUACUCUAUCUUUCUGUUCCUAAGUUGAACUGGAUAUAUCUAGGUUGGCUACAAUUCAGCUUCCACAGUAACAGAUCUUUUUCUGGCAGCAGAAAAAGAUGCAAAUUAUUUUCAUGUGGCAGGUGUUUCAACCAAAUAUCCUGGGAUCAAACUAACAUUUAUCAAGUACCUUGAAUCACAGCGUUAUGUACUCGGUGGGCAUUGCCCACGGGGAGGUAAUGCAUCAGCAGGCUGAGAAGCUUAGAACACAAAGGAAGAGAAUAACAAAUCACAAAUCAACAAACUCAAUUGUAUUAAACGUGCUGCCCAGGGAUGCUUUCCUCUGGCAAGAAAAUAUUCAGAUGCAAACUUACCAUUAGGAGUUUAAAAAAUAAACCAACUGUAGGUAAAUGAUAGUUAUUUGCU
RNAcentral lists this long non-coding RNA (2035 nucleotides) under Anser cygnoides (Swan goose). Its description in RNAcentral is "lncRNA (ENSACDG00005006412.1)". Lineage: Eukaryota; Metazoa; Chordata; Aves; Anseriformes; Anatidae. The record is from RNAcentral.